CCUACGGGUGGCUGCAGUGAGGAAUAUUGGUCAAUGGGCGGAAGCCUGAACCAGCCAAGUAGCGUGCAGGAUGACGGCCCUACGGGUUGUAAACUGCUUUUAUACGGGAAUAAUGCGCCUUACGUGUAGGGCUUUGCAUGUACCGUAUGAAUAAGGACCGGCUAAGUCCGUGCCAGCAGCCGCGGUAAUACGGAAGGUCCGGGCGUUAUCCGGAUUUAUUGGGUUUAAAGGGAGCGUAGGCCGCAUGUCAAGCUUGCUGGGAAAUGUUCGGGCUCAACCCGGGCCUUGCAGCGCGAACUGGCGUGCUUGAGUCCGCGGAAGGCAGGCGGAAUUCGUGGAGUAGCGGUGAAAUGCUUAGAUAUGACGAAGAACCCCGAUUGCGAAGGCAGCUUGCUGCAGCGGAACUGACGCUGAUGCUCGAAAGCGCGGGUAUCGAACAGGAUUAGAUACCCGGGUAGUC
Molecule: ribosomal RNA, 460 nt
Filed under: uncultured bacterium
Lineage: Bacteria
Description: partial 16S ribosomal RNA
Rfam family: Bacterial small subunit ribosomal RNA
Source: RNAcentral